CUUAUGGCACUUAUCAUCUUCUGACUUCCAUUAUUGUUAUUUGAGGCAAUAUAAAAUAAUAAUCGUUGACUUUGAUAUUAGAUUGAUUUGGUAUGAAAUUCCAAUUCUCUGACCAAUAUUUACAUAACAGAUUAGUUUUCUUAAAUUCUUAAAGCCUCAUGUUUGUCAUUAUUAAAAUAGAGACAAUCAUACCAAACUCUUAUGUUCUUAUGAGGACUAUGUGAGAUAAUAUAUGUAAAGUGUUUAGCACAAAUCUGAAAAAGAAUAAAUGCUCAGUAAAUUGUAGCAGCAUAAACUUUUAUCAUCUCUUUUAUUAAAUUUCAGCCUCUGUAGAGUGAACUUCUUCAUAUUAAUCUAUUUCUGCCCUAUAAAGUCAGAGAAGUUAAGAAAUAAUACCAACAUGGUUGCUGUAGAGAGUAGAUUCCUGAAUUAUAAGCACAUGUUAUAUAGAUAAAGCACUUGUUAAUUACCCUCUAUCAAGGCUAGUCUCUCUGUCUGAGUGAAUAUCGAUUAUGGAGAAGUUCUCGACCUUUCCUGUUGGUUCAUUGGUUUGUUUGCUUCUUGCGUUUUGCUCUGGUACAUCUGAUAGAUGAGGUUGUGCAACACCUAAGAGUUGCUCUAACUUUGUCUCCCAUAUAAGAUAGUAAACGGAAAGGCAAGAGAGUGUGACUGAAGUUAUUAAAAGGGAGCUUUAUAUCUGUUCCAAUUUAUAAAGGAAAGACACACCAUUAAAAAAAAAAAACCUCUCACGCUUUAGGUAUUACUGUACCCAAAUUAUUUGUAAUAUACUCCACAACUGAUGCAAAUCAUGAACAUGUGCCAUGACUCAGUAGUUGAAAGAAGUUUUAAUAAUUUCUAUUUUUCAGAGAUCAACUUUAUUUGACCUAAGUGAGGAGAAUUUUCAGUUCCUUAAUUUCUUUCUAUUAUCUUUUUAGUGUUUUGAUUAUCCAAUAACAUUUCUUUUCUUUUACAAUUUUUAUUCUUAUAAUCAUAUCUGAGGUUGUUUUCUAUAUAGUUAACACACUGGAUAAUUCCAAAUUUUUACAAUACCUAUUUUCAUUUUUAUAUAUUUUCUACCUGUCAUUAUAAUUGCUUAAAUCAGUCAUCUCUUGUUUAUGUUCAUUUUCCCAAAAGAAAAACCUAUUUAGUUUACACAUUUGUCUCUCUUGGUGUCUUACACAAUACCCUUUUUUUUUUUUUUUACAGUAUUUAAGUCAACAGAUGGAAGAGUGUCAUGGAAGGUAAAUCAGACAAUGAGAUAAUUCACCAGAGACUCACAUCCAGGCAUAUGUAUUGUUCCCUCUAUAUAACUGAGCAGUAGUAUUUCUAUUUAGUUCAGAGCAAUAAUAAAGAAAUUUCAGAAAAAUUCAGAAUUUUAGCAAAAUUUGUUAACUUCUUUAGCGUUGAAGAUGUCUAUUUACUUAGUCACAAUGGAAACUCGGCCUCAUUCUACCUUCAAGGACACACCUGGUAACUAAUUGCAAGAUGCUUGGAAAGAUAGAACAAUACAAGAACUGAGCCAGAAAAUGAUAUUUCUUACUGUUUUAGGUGUAUUCUUCUUUGGGGACAACUAAACAAUGUACAUCUCCUGAGAAGGUGACUUUGAAAUUCAGCUCUGAAAAAAAUGGCUCCAAUUUCUUAGAUGCAGUGAGUGCAUCUGGAGACUGCAGUAGCUGCAGCAUUAAGAACAAGGGUCUUCAUUCUCUGGUGUAAUAAUCCUGGCCCACAGAUAAGCUCUGAUGAUCAUGGAGAGGAAUUUAAUCAUCUACUCAUUGUAGCCAUCUAUAUUGUUUGUGGGGAACAGGCUCUCUGCUGAGAGAAAAAUCUGCCAAGUUCAGAUUAUGGGUAAAACCAUGGGAGAUAGAAUUAGCCUCACGAAUUGUCAGGAGCUUUUAAGAGUUACUCACUCUUAAAGUAUUUUAAUGCUUAGGUAUCUCAAAAUUCAGCCAUUAUAGAAGCAAAGAUAAAUGUCAGUUUUAAUCUCCCAAUCCGUGAUUUCUCAAAAUGAAUCUGGCAAACUGUUCAACAUCUAUCUUCCAGCGUGCCUGUGAGGAAGAAACUGGAGCAAAAAAGAUGGAAACCCCAGCAAGGACGAUGAGUAAUGAAGAUUGCACCUUUGCAAUUUAUCUUCUCUCUCACAAAAUUAAUGCUGGAAUUCGAGAUUACUGUGGGGCUGUUUAUUAGUGAUGACAACUGUAUGGGCUUGGUUUGGAAAAUGUGUUCUCUCCUGAGUUGUUGAGUCAUGUGAGGCCAUUUGCAGUUCUUUUUUUUUUCCCCACUAUUAUUUAUCAAUGCCUCAUUAAAUAGGUCAUCUGUGUCCAGAUUUAAAGUCUCAUUUUCAGAAGGAUUUCAUGAACUUGGAGAGUUUCCAACAAGAAAAACCAAUCUGCAGGCUGUACAGGAAUCAUGGUGGGGCAUCUGCUCAGCUUCUGUGAAGGCCUCAGAAAACUGACAAUCAUCAUCGAAGGUGAAGUGGGGGACAGACAUGUCACCAUCUGAUCGAGGAUAUAAAAUAAGUCUAGAAAACAUGAAGAAGGUUGUUUAGUGGGCCACAGGAGAGGUAUAGAUAGGAGGCUCUGAGUAUUCUGUGCUAGGACAAAUUAUUACCAGCUGGAUAUGGGGUUGAAUUAGAAAUCGUCACAGUACAAUAGCAUUAACUGAACUUUAGCUGAUACACUUGAACACGGAAGGAAAGCAUUUUAGGGAGAGAUGGAUAUAUAGGUAAAGAGGCUAGAAGGUGUGGAUCAUAUGUGGAACAGAGCAGUCUAUAUUUGGGUAGAGUGUAGGGUGGGAAUAAAUGGGAAAAGGCAAGAAAGAAAUCUGUUUAGAUUCUGAAGGGUCUUGAAUUCCAGGCUCAGCAGUU
Molecule: long non-coding RNA, 2863 nt
Filed under: Homo sapiens (human)
Lineage: Eukaryota; Metazoa; Chordata; Mammalia; Primates; Hominidae
Description: long non-coding RNA NONHSAT195134.1
Source: RNAcentral